This 311-nucleotide ribosomal RNA is filed under the name uncultured bacterium. RNAcentral describes it as "bacterial SSU rRNA". It matches the Rfam family "Bacterial small subunit ribosomal RNA", at positions 28 to 334 of the family's 1533-position model. The record is from RNAcentral.
GACGAACGCUGGCGGCGUGCCUAACACAUGCAAGUCGAACGGGGUUGUGAGAGCUUGCCUUCACAACCUAGUGGCGGACGGGCGAGUAACGCGUGAGCAACCUGCCUUUCAGAGGGGGACAACGGCUGGAAACGGCCGCUAAUACCGCAUAACACAGCGGGGUCACAUGGUCCUGCUGUCAAAGGAGCAAUCCGCUGAAAGAUGGGCUCGCGUCCGAUUAGCUAGAUGGUGAGGUAACGGCCCACCAUGGCUUCGAUCGGUAGCCGAACUGAGAGGUUGAUCGGCCGCAUUGGGACUGAGACACGGCCCAG